UGAGGAACAUGACUUUCGGCGGGGGAGUAGCCUGCCCAACGGCCGGGUAAUACCGCGUACGACCACAUGGGGACGAUCCCUGAGUGGUGAAAGCAGCAAUGCGCCGAUGGAGUGCCUCGCGGCCUAUUAGCUAGUUGGUGAGGUAACGGCUCACCAAGGCAACGAUGCGUAGCCGACCUGAGAGGGUGAUCGGCCACAUUGGAACUGAGACACGGUCCAGACUCUACCGGGAGG
Molecule: ribosomal RNA, 234 nt
Filed under: uncultured bacterium
Lineage: Bacteria
Description: partial 16S ribosomal RNA
Rfam family: Bacterial small subunit ribosomal RNA
Source: RNAcentral